RNAcentral lists this long non-coding RNA (2903 nucleotides) under Nicotiana tabacum (common tobacco). RNAcentral describes it as "long non-coding RNA (NTAB_LNC001119)". Lineage: Eukaryota; Viridiplantae; Streptophyta; Magnoliopsida; Solanales; Solanaceae. The record is from RNAcentral.
AGAACCUAUGAUCUUUUUGUUAACUGAAUAUUUUAUGUACAUAUUUUUAGUAUUGGUUUAAUAUUAUUAGUUAACGCCUAUUGAGUUAUUUAUUCAAAAGAACAUGAGUAGAUACUCAUAUUCAAAAUAUCCAGAAUCCGCUUCUAAUAUUAAGUGAAAAUAUAUAGACCCAUAGCCUCUGCACUUCCUUUUUCCACAAGUUGGUUACUGUGGUGAUUUGAGCUGAGGUCUCUCAGAAAUUGCCGCUCUAUCCCUCUGGGAUAUGGGUAAGGUAUGAGUACAUUAUAUUCUUCCUAAAUCUCACUUGUGGAAUUUUUCUGGAUUGUUAUUGUUGUUGUUUAUUGGGGUGAUCAGUUUCAGCAGACUUAUAGCCUGUUUGGCCAAGUUUCUGUUUAUUUUGAGAAAUAUUUUUUUUCAAAAGUGUUUUUUUUUUUAAAAUUCUUUGGUGAGAAUCGGUUUGUGUUUGGCUAAUUAAUUUAAAAAGUACUUUUGAGCAGUAAUUAGUGUUUCGCCAAACUUUUGAAAACUGCUUCUAAUUGUAUUUUUGUCAAAAGUAUUUCUCAGAAAAGUGCUUUUGGAGAGAAGUUACAUUUUCUGCUUCUCAAAUUCUGUUUCUGCUUCUGCUUCUCCUCAAAAGCAUUUUUUUCCUUAAAAACUUGGCCAAACACCUCAAUAUUUAGCCAAAAGUACUUUCGGCAAAAAAAAAGUAUUUUUGACCCCAAAAAAAGCUUGGCCAAACAUGCUAAUAUUUCCCUAACCAACGAUCUUUUCUUGUUUAAUUCCUCUAUUUUCUUAAAUUAUUCCUAAUAAAAAUUUUGACAACGUCACAUUAUCGGGAUUAUAAUCUUACUAUAUUAAAAGUAAGAAGACCCUUAAUAAAAUAUCGUUCGCCUUUUUUAUCCUUUAAAAAAUAUAUUUUAUAUUGGAUAAAUUUAUAAAAUCAUAAAAAUUACCUAAUAUUUAGGAGUUCGAAACCAAAUAAAUUUGUUUCCAGUAUAAUUCUGUAUUGGAGAUCUUUUCCUAAUAAGUCUGCACGAAAUAUUAAGAAAAUAAAAACGAAUGCAAAAAAUUAGGGGAAACGUUUCUUUUCCAACAAGAACUCGCCCAUUUGUGUAAAUCUUUUAUUUUUUGUCCUUGUAUUUAUUCAUACCGGACCAAUUUUGCCUCUUUAAUCCUUUCAUACGAACAUUUCGUUGUUCUUAAGAUUUUAAUUAUAAGUAUUCCUUAGAAGCUUGGUUGUUUACUCCGUUUCUUUUCUACUCUUAGAAUCUACUAAGACAUGCUAGAAAGAAUAUCUACCAUUAGGUUUUUAAAAUAGUAAUUAUUGUUGAAAAAAUAGUAAUAAUCAUUAAUUUGUGAUAAAAUUUUAAUUUAUCGUUUGUUGAGGAGGAAACAUACAAGUUUGAAAUAUCAUUUAAAAUUUAAUGCAUAUUCCCGUUAAAUAGAUGGAAAAUGUCUUUGUCUUUUGGUAAAAAAGAAAUUAAUAUUUACUAAAAAUAUUUAUUACAUAAUUUUCCUAAAAAAUAGGAAUUAGCGAUAAAAUUCAUCUUGGCUUAUAGGAAUUUGGAUAAUAUGUCGUUAUCGCCACUAAAUAAAAUUAGCAAUGAAUUUUUAUUAUGUAAGUAUAAAAUUUAUUCGUCGCUAAUUCUUUUUCUUUUUAUAGUUGACGUCUCUAGAGUACAUAUAUCUAGAUGAUCAUAUUGAUACGAAACUAAAACAAAAUAACGGGAUACAUAAUAAAUCAUCCAUAUGCUUUCAAAUAUAUCUUGGUUACAUGUUAUCAUGCGUAGUUAGGCAAUCCGUUAUUUUAUUGACUAAAUAAGAUUAAUAUUUAUCAUUUUCAAGAGCUUAAAUUUUUUAUAUUUUAUUUUAUAACUCAUAUAAAUUUUAAUAAUAUCUUUAUGUAAUUUUUAUAAAUUUAUACAUUGAUAUAUAGUACAAACGCAUAGCCGCGUAUAGUAAAAUUAGCUAUUAAAAAAAUAUAUGUGACUAGUCAACUUUUGGAUCCAUGCAAGGUGCCACGUCUUUAAUCAGAACCACCACAUGGCCAAAUAUAGCGCAAUAUCCGCUUGCAAAGGGCAGAGAUUGGCCUUUCACCUUCCUAAUGAGUUGGGGAAAACAGGGGACUCGUCUUACGCAACGACUGUUGUGUAUAUUUAUCAUUUUCAUAAACAAACCAAUAUGAUGAUGUACUUGCGCAGAGAAAUUGAUGACAGCGCCGUUUUAUAAAGUUUUAGGUUGGUGUUAUCUUUUUCUUAUUAUAUAUUACUCCACAUAAACCCAACUAAUAAUGUACACAACAGAUGAUGACACCAUUUUCAUUGGGUUAUAUUUUGGUGCAGUGUUUUCUUCCAAAUGGCUUUUGGUGAAAGGACUUUAACUUUUCAGAAAUCUAAAAACGAAAAGAGAGAAAACGGAGAGAUUUUUAUUUUUACACACUUUUUUUUUUUUUUAAUAUUAUGAAGGGUUUGUAUUGGGUAAAAUAUGCUACGGCACGUGGCCAACAAAGAAGAGGAUAUGUGGAACCAAAGCCGGGAGGACAUAAAACCGGGCGCAGCUAUUCCGUGUGUCACCGAAAAAGGCAAGUUCAUAAAGGCAUUAAGCACGAUGCACCCGGUGGCAACUAAUGAAAAAUAUUUUACAGCAUUAAAAAGUAACGGCUCGUUACAAAGUUGUGAGCAUUUUUGUUUACCGUUAGGUUUUCAUUAUCGCACUUCAAUAAUUGUCACUAGUGGUGAACCCUACCAUUAUGCCCACUGAGCUAUAAAUAAUAUGCUCAAUGCCCAUUGUAAAGACAGGUUUUUAGACAUUAAAGAAUAUAUUCUAACACAACAUCUUGAUACUAUUCUUCUCUCUCGAGCUUGUUGAUUAUUGUACCCGGAGACUCUGUCCUCGGGCUCAUC